Molecule: long non-coding RNA, 3804 nt
Organism: Haemorhous mexicanus (house finch)
Lineage: Eukaryota; Metazoa; Chordata; Aves; Passeriformes; Fringillidae
Exons: 2
Source: RefSeq, a predicted model, not a curated record
UUUUAAUUAAUUUGAAAAUAUAAUUUAUUAAAGUUUGCUUGAAUGAAAUUUUUUUUUUCCUGUUCUGUAAUGGGAAGUAUGGUGUUAUGUAGAAUUAGUAUUAUUAAUGAGGUCAGAAAUCUACUGUAUUCCAAAGAGGCCAUUUUCACAAGUUUAAUAUUAAACACACAUUGAAUUAUCUUUCUGUUUUUCUAACUAAUAAUGUUGUUGCUCAGAAACAUUUUUCAAGCAAAAUAUCAAAACAACAUUCUAAAAUUGAAAUAGAGGAAUUUAAAAUUUUAUGCUGUUCAAUACUAACUCUUAGAGCAAAGUUCUAUAGCUUUUAUAGAUUUCAUACAGUCCAGAAUUGAGUGUGCUGUGGACCUACCUAAUUUUACAAGGAAUUCCAAGUAAUUCAAGUAUUUUAAUGAGAAUGUACAAUCAUGCAGUGAUAUCUAUGUAACUUUUAUGGUGUGUUAUUUCUGUAAUGUAAAUUUUCUUAGUUCAUAACUUUGCAGUUCAAUUCUUAUCAAAACAUGUUAGCAGUUUCUGAAAAUUGAUAGAUUUGUGCUAGUUUGAGGCAUUCACUGCAGAUAAUUUAUCUGGCUUGUGAGUAAAAAAGGUAGAAAUACUGAAUUUUGCAGUUAUAUAUUUUUUCUCAUAUUGGUAAGAAAGGCUGCAUUUCAAGACAGUAUUUUUGAAUGCAAUUUUGUUUACAUGAAAUUCUGGAAUUGUUCUCUCUUUUCAGGUUUAUUGUCAGGUUCCCAAUCCAACAUGGUUGUAACUUCAUAAAUUAGCACAUUCUUAGAAUGUUGUGGGUAACCCAGUCCAGACAACGAGAUAAAGAAAUCUGAGUACCCAGACAAAAAAAACUUCAUUUUUAUAUUCAUCAUUAAACAAGUACAUUAUGAACAACUGUAUUUUUUAAUGGUUUCUAAUUGCACAUUGAGCAUCAGGCUUACGAAGAACCUGUGGAAAGACAUUUCUCUAAAACACAAGCAUGCUUUUUAUUUUCUGAUAAGAAGCAAGCUCAGCAGUUUUCACUUUAUGAAGAGGCCAGUGAUAUCUCUUGUGAAAGAUAGAAUGCAACUUUUAAAAUGGAGGAAUUUAAACUCUGCUGUGUAUUUGUAAGUUAAAUUUACUGAGUAUUUGCUUUAGUACCUGAUGUGUAUUUUGUAAUUGAGAAAUUAGCAGUGAAUGUCAAAAGAAAGGAAGCUAUGUGCCAGUAAGCCAGAAAGUUCUGAUUUAACCUACCAAUGACCUGGCUUUGUUUGUUCAGAUGACAGUUCUAAAAGUGUGCAGAGAAUAUUCCCUUUUAAUACAGUUAUUUGCCGCGAGCCGUGACCUCGCUGCCUGUCGGGGAGCAGGUCUGAAUUGGCCCUUUCUCUGAUAUCGUGACAUUGCUUCUGUUGCCUCGAUUGUGACCUCUGAUUGCAUGAUACCCCUGAGAGUUCAAUUUAAUAAGCGUGACUCCUGACUCUUAGCCAGGUCUGCCUUCUUAGGUUUUGUCAGACUCUACUUGUAGUCUGGUCUGCAUAUGCUAAAACACUGCCUAGGCUGUCAUCAUACUGUGUGAGUUGUGUGCACUGUAUUCAAAGUUCUCUUUCAAAUGUCUUUUGCUUAUUGCAAAUGCAAAUGUUUAGAAAGUCUUUCUUGGAAUAAAUUUUAGAAGUUGUUUCUUUCACGUGUAUGGCUGCUUGGGAUUUUUGGGUUUUAUACCUUUGUGCAGAUAGUUACUACUCUUUCACUAAAUUAGUAAGCAUGUGUAUUAGCCAUGCAUCAUAUUAAUUUCUUUCUUCUAAUUUUUAUUUCCCAUAUGAGAGUGUUGUAUGUUUUUAUGACUUCCCAUACAAUAUGUUUGUUCAAUAUAGAAAAAUUAGGGGCAAAUCCCUUUUUCUCAUUGUAUAAUUAGUACAGUAACACAACAAGGCAGUACUGAUAAGCACCCAGAGCACUGUAAGGUGUAGUGACCCAGGAGCAGUCAGGUGAAAGCUGAAGAAUCUGUUUGGAAUCCAGGAGAAGCCAGAAUGCUGAGGAAGAGUCUGUUCUGGGACCUGGAUGCCUUGAGGGUGAUGAUGCUAUUCAGAUAUUUCUCCAGUUUUAGUGCCGCUUGGUGCAUUCACUGAACCAGAAUAUGGAGAAGUUUAAAGAUUGAAAGAAAGUUUCAAGAACUGUGGUACAAGUUACAGACAAGUUUCUGUAUUUACUUACAUGCAUUUUCUGUAUUCUCAUUGCAGCUUUGUACCCAUUUUUCUAGCCUCUGUAUCAGUACCAUAACUUAGUGCUUCUAAAAAAUUAUCAUUUCAGAAGAGCAGAAAAAUCUUGCUGAACAAAAUAAUGCUUUGAGCUUACUUUUGUAGUUACAUUAAAUUUUUUCUGUAAAUAUUACCAUGUAAUACUUCUUUAUUUCUUCAAGUGCUUUAAAGAAUUCUGUUAACCUUUUUACCAGAUUAAUUUUUAUUAAAAUUUUUUAUUUUGCAUGAAAACUAUAUUAAGAUCUUUCUUAUAAAACAAAUUCUAUAUAAGGCAGAAAGUGGGUAUUUUCUUCUUCCACUCAAACUUGACAAUGAAAUUCUAUUCCUUCUUCAUGACAGUGACUGUUUACAAUGAAGUAAAAUCAAGUAAAAUCUCGGUUUGGCCAGGUUGGUUGGUUUUUUUUUUUUUUUUUUUUAAUUGGUACACAAAUUCUAUUGUAAGAUUAUGUAAUUUUUAUAACUCAAUUUAGUCUCUAAGGUUUUAAAAGUCGUAAUAUAAUCAUCUCUUUCCUUCUUCUGGAAUAAAUAGCGUAAGAUGAGCUUCUAAAUUUCCUUAAUCUUAAGUGAGAGUUUCCCUACCUAAUUGAAAUUUAUGGGAUUUCACUCCUCUCUGGAUCAGAGCUUAAUGCUCUGUAAAUUCCUGUGCUCUUGGCAGGAGAUUAGAUCAUCAGCUGCAAACAAGCAAAGUUACAAGUGGACAACUAUUUUAACCUGUUGGUAGACAACUGGUAAAACAAAUUAAACUUUUAAAUUAAUUAGUUAUGGCUGUUUUAAAAGCUAUUGCAAAUAUAAACAGAAUGCGUAUGAGUCAGCUUCACCUAUUUGGAAUCAUCAUGAUAUUUAGGUUGUUCCCUCCUUUUCAAACAAUUUUAUAUAUAUGUAUAUAGAAAUACAUAUGUAAAGGCAGUGAGUAGGACAGUUUGGUAGCAAGUUUAGAUGAAAAGUUUAGUCAAAAGAAACUAAUUUAAACACACCUACAGUAAGCAUAAACUGUUUAAAUUCAAGAUUAGGGACAGUUAAAUUAUGUUCACAAAUAGAACUGGGGGGUUUGUGUUCAUCUUCUCAAUAAAAAAGAAUUUGAAUAAAGUUCUAAACAAAUUUCUGUAAAAGAACAGAAGGAGUCAGAUCUAAUUUAUUCCUUUUUCAACUGAUCUGUUCAUUCAGUAGGUAAAUCAUUCAAACCUUCUCUGCCUGGAUAGAGAAAACCUGUGCCAUUGUAACUAUAACUGAUUCAAAAUCAAUAAAAGGUUGGUUCCAUACCUGGGGAUAUGUGCUGAUUACUCUAUAAUUAUAUACAAUGUUUUGAUUCUUGUUUGUUUUCAUGUGUUUGCAGUUUAAUUAAUGAAGAGAUCUAUGCAAAUACUAAGCUCUUCGAGACAUAUGUAUUGAGAAUUAACCUGGGGCAACUCAUAGGCAAGUUGCGGUUUUCUUUUGCCUUUUCUGCCUGACCUUCUUUACAAAUGGAAAGAUUUUUUGGGUUUUUUGAUAAAACUACAAGAUGCUAGAAUUUCAUAUUGUUUAUUGUCUUCCAUGAUGUAUCAACCAAUUAAAUAUAACUCAAUAAGAGCAA